AGUCGUGCGGANCUUUUAAAAGCUUGCUUUUAAAAGGUUAGCGGCGGACGGGUGAGUAACACGUGGGCAACCUGCCUGUAAGACCGGGAUAACGCCGGGAAACCGGGGCUAAUACCGGAUAGUUUUUUCCUCCGCAUGGAGGAAAAAGGAAAGGCGGCUUCGGCUGCCACUUACAGAUGGGCCCGCGGCGCAUUAGCUAGUUGGUGGGGUAAUGGCCCACCAAGGCAACGAUGCGUAGCCGACCUGAGAGGGUGAUCGGCCACAUUGGGACUGAGACACGGCCCAAACUCCUACGGGAGGCAGCAGUAGGGAAUCUUCCGCAAUGGACGAAAGUCUGACGGAGCAACGCCGCGUGAGUGAAGAAGGCCUUCGGGUCGUAAAACUCUGUUGCCGGGGAAGAACAAGUGCCGUUCGAACAGGGCGGCGCCUUGACGGUACCCGGCCAGAAAGCCACGGCUAACUAC
RNAcentral lists this ribosomal RNA (464 nucleotides) under uncultured bacterium. RNAcentral describes it as "bacterial SSU rRNA". It matches the Rfam family "Bacterial small subunit ribosomal RNA", at positions 60 to 504 of the family's 1533-position model. The record is from RNAcentral.